This 253-nucleotide ribosomal RNA is filed under the name uncultured bacterium. RNAcentral's name for it is "partial 16S ribosomal RNA". It matches the Rfam family "Bacterial small subunit ribosomal RNA", at positions 524 to 776 of the family's 1533-position model. The record is from RNAcentral.
UACGGAGGGUGCAAGCAUUGAUCGGAAUUAUUGGGCGUAAAGGGCGCGUAGGCGGAUUGGAAAGUCAGAUGUGAAAUUCCACGGCUCAACUGUGGAACUGCAUUUGAAACUUCCAGACUAGAGCAUAAUUAGGGAAAACGGAAUUCCACGUGUAGCGGUGAAAUGCGUAGAUAUGUGGAAGAACGCCAGUGGUGAAGACGGUUUUCUGGGUUAUAGCUGACGCUGAGGCGCGAGAGCUAGGGGAGCAAACAGG